ACGCGGAGGGAUCAUUA
Molecule: ribosomal RNA, 17 nt
Filed under: Fusarium equiseti
Lineage: Eukaryota; Fungi; Ascomycota; Sordariomycetes; Hypocreales; Nectriaceae
Also listed under: 2 other names
Description: partial 18S ribosomal RNA
Source: RNAcentral